RNAcentral lists this long non-coding RNA (997 nucleotides) under Homo sapiens (human). Its description in RNAcentral is "HSALNT0339020". Lineage: Eukaryota; Metazoa; Chordata; Mammalia; Primates; Hominidae. The record is from RNAcentral.
AGACCGUGUCUCUCUGUUGCCCAGGCUGGGGCGCGGUGGCUCAAUCUCGGCUCACUGCAACCUCUGCCUCCUGGGUUCAAACAGUUCUCCUGCCUCAGCCUCCCAAGUAGUGGUGGCGUGCGCCACCACGACCAGCUAAUUUUUGUAUUUUUAGUAGAGACGGGGUUUCACCAUGUUGGCCAGGAUGGUCUCGGUCUCUUGACCUCGUUGUCCGCCUGCCUCAGCCUCCCAAAGUGCUGGGAUUACAGGUGUGAGCUACUGUGCCCGGCCAUCUCUACCAGAUGUUUUAAAGACACCUCACAUCCCUCCUGUCCAGUACCAACCCCAGUAUCUCACCACUCAGUCUCUCCCUCCAGUCCCUUGGCCUACCCUUGACAUGUUCAUUGUUCUUUAAUUCCUUUAACAGUCUUCUAUCACAUUGGACGUUUACCUCUCCCUCACACUUUGUGUCUUACCUGUUACCGUCUUGCCACCUCUACUUCCUACAUUUCUCUGUAACCCAUCCAUGUCUUUCCACCUCUAAUGUCAUCAUAUUCAAAUUAUUGCCAUCUCGCACCUGGGUCAUUACUUCUAUUUUUAUUUUUUGAGACAGGGUCUUACUCUGUCACCCAGGCUGCAGUGCAGUGGCAUGAUCAUAGCUCACUGCAGGCUGGAACUCCUGGGUUCAAGCGAUCUUCCUACCACAACCUCUUCAAUGGUGGGGACUAUAUAGGUGUGCACCAUCAUACCUGGCUAAUGUUUUAAUUUUUGUAGAGACAGGGUCUCCUUAUGUUGUCCAAGCUGGUAUUGAACUCCUGGGCUCAAGUGAGCCUCCUUCCUGGCCUACCAAAAUUCUGGAAUUGCAGGUGUGAGCCACCGUGUCCAGCCCUGACCCAUUGUAUCAUCCUAACUGAUACCCCUGCAUUCACUUGGUACUCUCCCGUCCAUUUUCCACAUGGCAACCAGGAUGAUAAUUUUAAAACACAUUUAAUCAUGAUAUCCUCUUGCUUAAAGCUCU